Molecule: long non-coding RNA, 1015 nt
Filed under: Selaginella moellendorffii
Lineage: Eukaryota; Viridiplantae; Streptophyta; Lycopodiopsida; Selaginellales; Selaginellaceae
Description: long non-coding RNA (SMOE_LNC002295)
Source: RNAcentral
UCGCUAAACAUAUAUGUACAUUACCCCAAUCCCAAAGGGAUCAAAACAACAUUGAGAGCGCACUCUCGAAGAAACUAGUGAAACUAUGAGCACGAACGCCCGGCGCUGCUCUUGGGCCGUCCGCCUCCCAGGUGACUCCACCGCGGAGCUUGAAGCCACCUGCUUCGCCUUGCCACUCCUCCACUCGGUCACAAUGAUGUCAGGCCAGACGAACACCAUGUCGAUCUAGCUCGACGUCGUCGCAGCCAAGCGGUCCAACUCGAGCACGAUGACCCGGCGUCGCUCAUGGGUCACUCGCCUCCAAGGUGACUCCACUGCACAAGCUGAAGCCACCUGUUACGCCCCAAGACGUGAUGCUGUGUCUUGGAGCGCCUACCUCCCCAGUGUACUUCCAACACUAAGUCGGUGCCCAUUGCGAACAAACUCCAAGGCGUAGAACAAGCGAGGUGUGAGCCUCCUCCAGCUCUAGACUAGAGCGUGCUACCUUGCCUCCCACACUAGACAAGUGCGCUGGCCCCCUUCAAUGAUAUACGAGCCCCCGUUGACUUACUAUAUCGCAACACAAGCAACUUAUCCCCCGUAAGGGUGUAUCCGACUUCCCUAUGCUAUUAAGAAGUCUUGGGUAGCUACCUUCUACCCGUUUAGGGUUUAGGGUUUAGGGUUUUAGGGUUUAGGGUUUAGGUUUAGGGUUUAGGGUUUAGGGUUUAGGCGCGUUUAGGGUUUAGGCGCGUUUAGGCGUUUAGGGUCAAAGACACCCCGUGGUGUUGCAAUCCGGCGAGAUCGCUAAACAUAUAUGUACAUUACCCCAAUCCCAAAGGGAUGAAAACAACAUUGAGAGCGCACUCUCGAAGAAACUAGUGAAACUAUGAGCACGAACGCCCGGCGCUGCUCUUGGGCCGUCCGCCUCCCAGGUGACUCCACCGCGGAGCUUGAAGCCACCUGCUUCACCUUGCCACUCCUCCACUCGGUCGCAAUGAUGUCAGGCCAGACGAACACCAUGUCGAUCUAGCUCGAC